This 1243-nucleotide long non-coding RNA is filed under the name Olea europaea subsp. europaea. The record is from RNAcentral. Lineage: Eukaryota; Viridiplantae; Streptophyta; Magnoliopsida; Lamiales; Oleaceae.
CACGGGAUCCGUUGUCUAGAAAUGCAAUCCUGGGACGAAGCCACAUAGUUGGGUGAACAUUGUAAGAUGUUGAUAUAUGGGAACGAGUAUGCUAUGCAAACACUUCUUAAUAGUCGUGGAUUAACAGAUCUACUUGGGUUAGGCACUGAUGAAGCCAUGAAGGGCAUGACAGCAAGCAUUAAGCUAAAAUGCCUGUAGAAAGUGACGAGAAUAAGGAUUGCAAUGUGGGGGGCACGUGAUUGACCCUGAGCUCCUUUCCAGCGAGUAUAUCGUAUGUUACGCAUGAGCAUGCAGGCAAGCUAGAUGUGUAAUGUGAAUAGGCAAGUGCUUUGUCACCAAGUGCAGCACAGAGAUGCGUCUAGGCGUUUACACGCUAGUGAGUUUUGUGGGCGAAAUAUACAUGUCAUGUCUAGCUUUGUUAUGAAAAUUAUCGGAUCCAUUCGAUUACUGCCCAUGGGUGCAAAAGAUUGUCUCGAUGUGAGAAUUGGAGAGUUGGCCCGUGUCACUAAGACGUCUGCCCAAUGAAUCAGCUGGACUUGACAGCCCAAGGGUACGAUAAAUCUCAGUCUUUUCGUCCACGGAAUUGUUAAUGGGACAUACAAUGCCUCGUUCAACAAGAUUAGGAAGAUAAUAUACCAUUACUCUUUACUUUUCGAUAUGCUGUACUGGACAAUUUCCCGUGAAGAUCAAGAAAAAUUGUUGUAUUAGAGAAGAACUCGGGAAGUAUGUACUGAAUGCCAUAGCAUGUGUAGUACCCGAAAGGAUAGUACGACCUGAAACAUAAAAGAAAUGGCAGCUCCCACUAAACCAGGAUAUUGUGAAAGAUGUUAAGGCGAAGUUGAGGACAAGUUACAAGGAUGAUUUUCUGCUAGAUGGGGAUAGAAAUUGGACGCUGGAAAGGACUCGUAACAUAUGCUCUCUCAUGUUGCCUGUAUAAGAAUGAUUGAAGAAGAAAGUUCUAUUGGCGCUUGUGAUUAAUUGGCAGUUAAUAUGAUCAUAGUACACCCAUGUUUCUCCCUUUCUACAAUAUAUCACACAGUCCGCUGCUGUUUGGUGUCAAGGUUUUGCAGGAGACAAGGAUUAAGAUUUGAAGAGUGGAUGCUUACGGUUUAUCAAGUAAAAAAUCUUGAGCAUUCUCAUGGUUAGAUUUUUUUUAUUUUUUUUAAAAUAAUAUUUUCAAGUAUUUGCACUUUACUGAAUAGCUUUGACAUUUUUGCUUUAUUCGUAUUCGUUUAAAUAUGAC